RNAcentral lists this ribosomal RNA (46 nucleotides) under Paraschistorchis zancli. RNAcentral describes it as "partial 5.8S ribosomal RNA". Lineage: Eukaryota; Metazoa; Platyhelminthes; Trematoda; Plagiorchiida; Apocreadiidae. The record is from RNAcentral.
UGCGGCCACGGGUUAGCCUGUGGCCACGCCUGUCCGAGGGUCGGCU